CUUUUUGAUUAUAAUUUAAAGUCUAGCCUGCCCAAUGAUAAAUAUUAAAUGGCCGCGGUAUUUUGACCGUGCAAAGGUAGCAUAAUCAUUAGUUUCUUAAUUAGAAGCUGGAAUGAAGGGUUGGAUGAAAAAAUAUCUGUCUCUAUCAAAAUUAAUUAGAAUUUUAUUUUUAAGUUAAAAAGCUUAAAUUGGUGUAAAAGACGAGAAGACCCUAUAGAGUUUAAUAUAUAAAAAAAUUAAAUUUAUUUUAGAAUUUUAAAUUAAUUAAUUUUGUAUAAUAUUUAAUUGGGGUGAUUAAAAAAUUAAAUUAACUUUUUUUUUAUUUUAACAAUAAUUAUUGAUAAAUUGAUCCUUUAUUAAAGAUUAAAAGAAUAAAUUACCUUAGGGAUAACAGCGUAAUUUUUUUUUAGAGUUCUAAUCGAAAAAAAAGAUUGCGACCUCGAUGUUGGAUUAAAAUUUAAUUUUGGUGUAGAAGCUAAA
This 480-nucleotide ribosomal RNA is filed under the name Aulacobaris cuprirostris. RNAcentral's name for it is "partial 16S ribosomal RNA". Lineage: Eukaryota; Metazoa; Arthropoda; Insecta; Coleoptera; Curculionidae. The record is from RNAcentral.